Molecule: unclassified non-coding RNA, 503 nt
Filed under: Bombus terrestris (buff-tailed bumblebee)
Lineage: Eukaryota; Metazoa; Arthropoda; Insecta; Hymenoptera; Apidae
Description: misc RNA ENSBTSG00005024708.1
Source: RNAcentral
ACCCAUAAUUCGUCCAAGUAACAAAUAGUUUGAUAAACACUAAACUGAAAGGCACGGCGAUGCUCAAAUUUUCUGCUAUGUUCAUAAGAGUAUCGGUGUUAUAAUGUAUAACGAUAUACUUGUAUUGAUAAAUCUGAAGCGUAAUUAUCGCUAUCACCCAACAUAACUUAUGUAUGAAUUGAAAUGGUGUUCCAGGCCAGACACCACAAAAAUGAAGGCCAAAUUUAACAGACGGACUAAUCGUGUUUAAUAUCAUUUCACAUAAAAUUAACUAUAUCCGCUUGCUCAAACUAUUUUGGGGGUUCUUUCUUAUAUACAAAGACUUGACACGUAAUUACCACACGCAUGCAUCACUAUCACCGUUAAUAAAUUUACAACGGGGCAGAGAUUCCAGCAGCCUUACUUACAUGCAGUCUCACGAUAAACUGAACGUUCCGUGAAAAUCAUGCAGAAACAUACGCAAAUUAUCCACGAGUGACAGCCAUUUGUUUCGGAUUCCCAGG